RNAcentral lists this ribosomal RNA (399 nucleotides) under Armadillidium vulgare (common pillbug). RNAcentral's name for it is "partial 16S ribosomal RNA". Lineage: Eukaryota; Metazoa; Arthropoda; Malacostraca; Isopoda; Armadillidiidae. The record is from RNAcentral.
UUACAAAAACAUCUUCUGAAUCUAAUAUAUCAGGUAGUGCCUGCUCACUGGUUUUAAGAGCCGCAGUAUCCUAACUGUGCUAAGGUAGCAUAAUCAUUAGUUAUUUAAUUUGUAACUAGAAUGAACGGCCUGACAAAAGAAUAAUUUUAUUAUUUUUUUAUUAAAUUAAUAUAAGAAUAAAAAAGUUCUUAUAAAUUAGAAAGACGAUAAGACCCUAAAACCUUAUAUAUAAAUAUUUACUGGGGUGGUAAUUUAUUCACCAUAAAUUAAAAUAACAUAAUGAGUGAUACUGUCUAUCUAAUUAAUACAAAAAGGUACUUUAGGGAUAACAGCAUAAUUUUUAUUUAGAGUCCUUAUCGACAUAAAAGAUUAUGACCUCGAUGUUGAAUGGAUUUAACU